CUCCAUCGGGUUUUGAUUACUUUGCUCCAUGAAAAUCGUAGUUUCAAGAUUCUUUAAGUCGUAUCAAUAGGAUUCAAUGUUUUUAUCGAUUUGGAAUCUGGGAUUCUCUGUUUCUAGUUGUCUUCUAGUUUUUGGGUUUGCGAAUUAUACUAUUGUAGAAUUAGAGUUCUCGAGGUGAUGAUGAUAACAUAUAAUCCCAGCUCUAUGAGACCUUUUGUGGUCAAGGAGUAUAACUAUGUUCAUACAUUUAUCUGAGCCUUAGAAUUUCUAGCUUCUUGAUUGAUAAAAUCUUUGUUAGAUUGGUUUGGUUUUUGUAAAAUAGCGUUUUAAAAUCAAAUUUGUUAAUGUGUGCUCUGUUUAAUUUGGUCUAUUCAUUUGCGUAUUCAUGAUUUUUAUUUAGGGUUUUGAUGUGGCGAUGAUGAUAACAUAUUAUCCCAGCUCAUUAUGAGACCUUUUGUGGUCAAGGAAAAUAACUGUUUUCUAUAACGUAUCUGAGCCAUAAAAACCCUAAAUUCACAUUCUUAUUUUGAUUUUAUUAGUAGGAAGAUUUUAUAUUUUGUUCCCUGUGAUGAUUUAAAAUCAAUACCAUGCUAAUGUAUAUUGAUAAUUUUUAUUUGAUUUAUAAGUGAUUUGCUGAGGGAACUCUUGUAUUUUUUAGGAGUUUAGGUUUUUGUUUUGCCAUAUGAUCUCUUUGAAUGUAAGGAUUCCCUAUGAUGGUAAUAACCAUGCUAAUACUGAUGUCUUGUGACUGAAUCAAAGUUAUGUGUCUGAGGGAAUUUUUUGUUUGCAUUUUUUUGUUUCGUGAACUACAUGUGAUUGUCGAGGAGAUUAAUAAAACCUAUAAAACUAUUCUAGGCUAAUCUUUAAAAUUUCGGAACCAAUUAUUUCCAUUUUAUCGACUAUAAACAAUGGUUAACAAGUGAGCCAAUAUCGCCAUGGCUGAAUUAUUUACAUUAUAACUAAACUCUAUAGAGACAAAAAUCAUCUUGAUCUCUGAGAUUGAUCCCGGAAAGGCCUCUUUAUAAUAUAGAUCCAUCAACUCGAAAACUACAAAUUCCAAAGUUCUUUGUGAACUAAUUUGUUUUCUCACCCCCAAACCUUGCCUAAUUGUUAUGGAGCCCAAUAAAGUGAAAACUCAAUAUUGUUUAGUAUCUAUGAGCCUAAUGGGCUUGGGCCAAGACCACUAGAUAUUAAAGAGAAAAUCCCCGCAAAUUUCAUAAUCGAGUUCUAUUGUAUUGCUACAGCACCUUCUGCACAUGUCCAAAGCCGGCACUGGUCUCAGCCCAGCGCUUUGGUCAGUGAACCUAUAUACAUGUUUGGGUAACCUUCCAAACAACCAUAGAUCAUGUAUGGAAAGAAAGGAAUGAUAGACGUCUUGGCAACAUAGAACGCCAGCCAGCACUUAUAGUUCAUCUAAUUGAAACUAUCAGAGAUCGCACGGAAACCAUAUAAUGGACCCCGUCUCCGUAAUCUCCUGCUUAUGUGGUUUCAAGCACGUGCUUUUAUAUUCCUAACUUUUUCAUCUGAAUUUAUUGUACAUAGCAUUACAUGCAAUAUUAUUUUUUGUGUACUAGUCUACAAUAUACAGAAUAUUUG
This 1596-nucleotide small RNA is filed under the name Arabidopsis thaliana (thale cress). Lineage: Eukaryota; Viridiplantae; Streptophyta; Magnoliopsida; Brassicales; Brassicaceae. The record is from RNAcentral.